RNAcentral lists this ribosomal RNA (465 nucleotides) under uncultured bacterium. Its description in RNAcentral is "partial 16S ribosomal RNA". It matches the Rfam family "Bacterial small subunit ribosomal RNA", at positions 28 to 507 of the family's 1533-position model. The record is from RNAcentral.
GACGAACGCUGGCGGCGUGCUUAACACAUGCAAGUCGAACGGAAAGGCCCUGCUUGCAGGGUACUCGAGUGGCGAACGGGUGAGUAACACGUGGGUGAUCUGCCCUGCACUUCGGGAUAAGCCUGGGAAACUGGGUCUAAUACCGGAUAGGAGCCAUUUUUAGUGUGAUGGUUGGAAAGUUUUUUCGGUGUAGGAUGAGCUCGCGGCCUAUCAGCUUGUUGGUGGGGUAAUGGCCUACCAAGGCGGCGACGGGUAGCCGGCCUGAGAGGGUGGACGGCCACAUUGGGACUGAGAUACGGCCCAGACUCCUACGGGAGGCAGCAGUGGGGAAUAUUGCACAAUGGGCGCAAGCCUGAUGCAGCGACGCCGCGUGGGGGAUGACGGCCCUCGGGUUGUAAACUCCUUUCGCUAGGGACGAAGCUUUUUGUGACGGUACCUAGAGAAGAAGCACCGGCUAACUACGUG